GACGAACGCUGGCGGCGUGCCUAAUACAUGCAAGUCGAACGCAUUUUCUUUCACCGUAGCUUGCUACACCGAAAGAAACUGAGUGGCGAACGGGUGAGUAACACGUGGGUAACCUGCCCAUCAGCGGGGGAUAACACUUGGAAACAGGUGCUAAUACCGCAUAAUUCCAUUUACCGCAUGGUAGAUGGGUGAAAGGCGCUUUUGCGUCACUGUUGGAUGGACCCGCGGUGCAUUAGCUAGUUGGUGGGGUAACGGCCUACCAAGGCUGCGAUGCAUAGCCGACCGGAUAGGAUGAUCGGCCACCCUGGGACGGAGACACGGCCCAGACGGCUACGGGAGGCAGCAGUAGGGAAUCUUCGGCAAUGGACGCAAGUCUGACCGAGCAACGCCGAGGGAGUGAAGAAGGAUGUCGGAUCGUAAAACUCGGUUGUUAGAGAAGAACAAGGAUGAGAGUGGAAAGUUCAUCCCUUGACGGUAUCUAACCAGAAAGCCACGGCUAACUACGUG
RNAcentral lists this ribosomal RNA (507 nucleotides) under uncultured bacterium. Its description in RNAcentral is "partial 16S ribosomal RNA". It matches the Rfam family "Bacterial small subunit ribosomal RNA", at positions 28 to 507 of the family's 1533-position model. The record is from RNAcentral.